Molecule: ribosomal RNA, 328 nt
Filed under: uncultured eukaryote
Lineage: Eukaryota
Description: partial 18S ribosomal RNA
Rfam family: Eukaryotic small subunit ribosomal RNA
Source: RNAcentral
CUCUUAGAUGUUCUGGGCCGCACGCGCGCUACACUGAUGCAUUCAACGAGUCUAAACCUGCUCUGAUAGGGGUGGGUAAUCUUUUGAAUGUGCAUCGUGAUUGGGAUAGAUGAUUGCAAUUUUUCAUCUUCAACGAGGAAUGCCUAGUAAACGCAAGUCAUCAGCUUGCAUUGAUUACGUCCCUGCCCUUUGUACACACCGCCCGUCGCUCCUACCGAUUGAAUGAUCCGAUGAAUAUCAUGGAUUGAGGAUGCAAGCAGGUUCGCCUGUCUUCGUCUUCGAGAAGUGAAGUAAAUCUUAUCAUUUAGAGGAAGGAGAAGUCGUAACA